Molecule: ribosomal RNA, 2465 nt
Filed under: Triticum aestivum (bread wheat)
Lineage: Eukaryota; Viridiplantae; Streptophyta; Magnoliopsida; Poales; Poaceae
Description: partial small subunit ribosomal RNA
Source: RNAcentral
CCUAUAGCCGCCGAUGGAGCAGAAGAAGAAACCCUAAUCCCAAAAUCAAAUCCCGUCCCCUCUCGAUCUAUGGUUCGUCCCCUCUUCGCCCGGCGGCGGCCGCCGCCGGAGCACGCGGCAUAUAUCCUAACUGGGUCCUCCUCGACACCGUAGUGCGCGGGGCAAACUACGACUGGGAGAAAAUGUCAAUCGCUGAGUGUUCUUCUUCCUUGGCUACCACAGCCAGAACAUUCGUGGAUGUCAGAAGUGAGGCGGAGUCGAAGGAAGAAGUGGUGGUGGAGGUGGAGGUUUCCUUCUUAUUCGCCAGCCCACCGGAUGUAUCUGGCUUCGUUGUCCAUGUUGGGGAUUACGGGUUGUCGUAUGGUGCCUCCGUCGUUAGCACCGAUGGCAACGCUGUUCUGCUAGCCAUUACCAUGGCAAUGUUCAACUUGCAGCGCUAUCUCGUCUACAGGGUUGACCAAGGGAAUCCGUCACUUGAGGUGCUUCCAGACCGACCUAUGCUGAAAUUCCAUCCAACCAAAGUGGUUGGCAUCCUCAGCCAUGGCAAGGGAUACAUUGUGGCUGCCUUGACGCGCAAGCUCAAAAUUGACUAUCUUGCUUAUGAGCUCUUUCUCUACACAUCCCAGACCAAGGCAUGGAGCAGCAAGGUGAUACCACUGGAGUGUACUAGGGACGCUGACCUGAUUCACGUCCUGAUACCACCAAGGUAAUCACAGUUGGAGUGGAUUCAUUGGGGUGGGUUGACCUUUGGCGUGGUAUACUUUUCUGCAAUGUGCUUGAUGAGAAUCCAGUGGUCCGCUUCUUGAGCUUUCCUUGCCCCAUGCCGUCUAAUGCAUGUAACUUGGGAACAUCAUGUCCUAGGCCGUUUAGGGAUGUGAUCUGCAUUGGCAACACACUGAAGUUUGUUGAGGUGGAGUAUAACCAAGGUGAAGAUGAUACUGACUAUGGUUCGAAUACUGACCAUGGUUGGAAGGCGACAACUCAGAAGAGGAAUCUCGGGUCAGAGUGGACUGAAUGCUUUAGUGUACAUACUAGUGACAUCCUUUUAACCGAUGAAAGUUGGGAUUUGUUGUCACACAGGCUGCGGGAUGAUGAUGCACGCCAACUUUCCUUGAGUAAGUUGGGAGUGUUUAGCUCCUACCCUUGGCAUAGAUGAUGACUAUCUUUACAUGAUGACCCGGCCACUUGGAAGCAAUGAGAAGCCAUUGGGUCUGUUUGCUUCUCUUGACAUUAAAAAUAAGGACAUGAGGCUUGUGUCUUUUUCUACGGAAAGGAUGUCAUAUAUUGAUCCCAACUACCGGCCAUGUACUGUUUCACGUUACUUCAACAACACCUCUGUUGCAGGGAAGCCUCUCAAAAGUAAGAACAAGAAAGCUGCACCGAGGUUUAUUAUUGGUGAAAAUCUGAGGUAAUUCCAUAUGGCUAGGUUGGAGAGCAGCUUAGUGGAAUAAAUUUAUUUCAGUUAGCAAUAUCAUCUCACAGAUCUGAACAGUCAAUUGUUCUGUUUGUUCUGUUUAUACUGCAGGUGGAUUGGUUCGGUUAAAUUAGCAGUGCUCCGCAACAUCCUUGUUGCCAUUCAAAGGCUCACGUCGUUAGAUGCAAUACUGAUGAAACCAGAAAGGCCGGAUGAAACACAGCUAGAUCAAACACGGCUAAGGAAUUGCUCUGCCUCUGUUGAAAUGCUUGGCCAGAUGGCCCAUGGUAUUAGUUCGUACACUGAUCAUUUACCUGCAACCAGCAUCCAAUACCAUGUUGACGCACUUAAAGAAGGGUUUUCUAUUUUGGGUGGUAAGACUUUCCCAUUUAUGGACAAUGACGAGUAUGCAAGUUUUGUCGAUAUCACACACUUCAAAAUAUUGGAUGUCGUAAAAGUGGCGCGCAGUCUUGUAAAAGAAUUGCUGCCUAAAAGACUGGACGAUCCACAUUAUUCGCUCCGAUCUGUGGAACGGACUCUUAUGUAUGGAGAGCUGCCACUGACACCGUAUCUGAGGCGUCUUGACCUGUCAGAAGGAUGUGCUUAGGCGCAUCGCCCUGUCAGAUGGGUGGUUGUAACAGCAAUGCAGUAUGGAAGAGUGACGCUGCUCUGCAAUUUCUAAUCCGUGAACCAUGUAAGCAGGUUAUAUGGUGGACGAUAACCAAUGAAAUCUGGGUUAUUGUUUGUUUUAACUAGCAGCUGAGUUGUCAUGUUCACACCAAAGUUUGAAGCUAUAGUAGUUGGGCUGUGCGCUUCGUUUUCAAGGUGCCAAAUUGUGGAGCGUCCAAUCCAAUGAAAAGCUCAUAUUGAACUUGUAUUGUGCGAAACGGUAGGAUAAGAUAUCCUGAGCGUUGACAGUGUUGUUCAUGUUAAUGCAAAUGUUCCGCUUCCUUUGCUGGCUGUUGUUCGAUUCCGGUUCCUUGGUUGUGCGUUGUAUUGCCUUUGUAAAGAAAUACAAGAGCAUUUACCUUCUUACGAAGGGAGUAAAGCA